Molecule: transfer RNA, 69 nt
Filed under: Cramptonomyia spenceri
Lineage: Eukaryota; Metazoa; Arthropoda; Insecta; Diptera; Pachyneuridae
Description: tRNA-Gln
Source: RNAcentral
UAUAUUUUAAUGUAAGAGGCAUGAAAGAUUUUGAUUCUUUAAGGAAUAGUUUAAUUCUAUUAAAUAUAA